AACGAACGCUGGCGGCAUGCCUAACACAUGCAAGUCGAACGAGACCUUCGGGUCUAGUGGCGCACGGGUGCGUAACGCGUGGGAACCUGCCCUUAGGUUCGGAAUAACUCCCCGAAAGGGGUGCUAAUACCGGAUAAUGUCUUCGGACCAAAGAUUUAUCGCCUUUGGAUGGGCCCGCGUUGGAUUAGCUAGUUGGUAGGGUAAAAGCCUACCAAGGCGACGAUCCAUAGCUGGUCUGAGAGGAUGAUCAGCCACACUGGGACUGAGACACGGCCCAGACUCCUACGGGAGGCAGCAGUGGGGAAUAUUGGACAAUGGGCGAAAGCCUGAUCCAGCUAUGCCGCGUGAGUGAUGAAGGUCUUAGGGUUGUAAAGCUCUUUUACCCGGGAUGAUAAUGACAGUACCGGGAGAAUAAGCACCGGCUAACUCCGUG
Molecule: ribosomal RNA, 433 nt
Filed under: uncultured bacterium
Lineage: Bacteria
Description: partial 16S ribosomal RNA
Rfam family: Bacterial small subunit ribosomal RNA
Source: RNAcentral